CUGUCUCUCUCUCUGUCUCAAAAAUAAAUAAAAACAUUAAAAAAAAAUUAAACUGAAAAGGCAUUUUCAACAACUGGUAAAGUGGCAGUUGUUUUCUUGCAAUUUAUUCUUUUAACAAAUGUUUAUUAAAUGUCUUCUGUGUACCGCAGAUACAGUAGUAAAGAACUGCUGUGACCUCAGUCAUCACUUACAGUGCUCAAUUCCAAGGUUUUACUUUCCUGUUUGUCUUGGUUUUCCUUCUCCUAUAAUCUGUUGUUCAACCUGAAAUCCUUGUUAGGUCUGUGGGAUCUCUGGGACUCGGGGUAAGAGACCAGGCAGAGUAGAACACAGUGGCCUUCUUCCUACAGAUGAAGGCGUUGGAUUGGCUCAGCAUGUCCGGAACUGCACCCGUACUGUAGGUGCAGGUAACAUGUGUGGAAUGCAGUACAAAGAGGUCUCAACAGAAGAACUCUCCAGAGACAGAACAGGCUGUCGGGAGGUUCAGAGCACCCACACUGAAAAUAUUUACACACGACUUCCCUUCCGAGACGGACAUUCUGCGAGGCCAUAGAUGUAAGCACUAAAACCACCCUCUAUGUCCAUUUGACAAUAGUCCCUUUCCAAUUUAAAAAACAUUUUUUUAAUAAAAAUUGGCCGAUUGUAAUAUAUUAAAUUUAAUACAUUUUAGUUGGGUGGAUGAAGUAGUCCAGUGAAACUGAAGCAUACAUAGUAACUGAGGAUAUUCUACUUAUUCGGUUUUUUCACAUGACUCCAUCACUAUUCUCGCUAUGUUCACUUGUGGAUUUAUGUAACUGGUUUUCUUCCAUCAGAGGUGGGUGAUCUACCCAGUCUCUCAACAUGUUUGAUGCUAAUCCCUGGAAAUCCUAUUCCAAACCAUAACCCAGUCAAGACUGACUUAAUCUGAAAGAUUUUUUUGUUAGGUAGAAGGUGACUCUUUUUUACAAGGGAUUAUUUUGGAAGGAGUAAAAGAUUCACCUUCUAUUUGGACAUAGGUUAAUUCACAUUUCUUGUGAAAGACUAGGUAUCUUAGCUUCCAAGAUUAAUAUAUAAACCUCUCAUGUCCAAAUUACCACACUUGGUACAAUCUAUUGUGAGCUGUUAACAAUAUAAUCUCAAAUUCUGAAUUGCUCAUGUGUGAAUCAUAACAAUGAUUUUCACAGGGGCCAACCAACCUCUAGGAAGGUAUUAGAAGAAUUUAUUUUUCCAAAUAGAACCACAGUUAUUUAUAAAAUUAUUAGAUAUGCCUCAGAUAUAUUGUGGAGAAAAGUCAUUGAUACUUUAAUCUUUUUUUAUAUAUUUAUGAUAUGAUGUAUAGUUCAAAAGGGUCUUUGGAGAUCAACUAAGAUUGAGAUCUCUGUAGAAUUAUUUGAUAAUUGUUUAACAAAUAACUUUUAUUACUCAUUCUGUUAGCGGAGUCCAAAUGGGAUAGGAGGAGGGAGGCUGACUCGUUCACCAUCCCUUCUGAGCAGUGUGAUCAUAUGGGACUUGGGAGAAGAAUCUCAGGGUAAUAGGGCAUGCUGCUACUCCCUGUGAUCUUCAGGAAGGUUCUUACAAGAAAGAGACCGUGGAAAACUGGACAGGAGCGUGUAUGUUUGCUAAGAAAGCCUGCCUGGAGCCAUACUAAACGCUGUACACAAAAAUUAUUUCAAGAUGGAUCAGGAACCUAAAUAUAGAAAAAUAAAACUAACGUUUCUUAUAGAAAAAAAUAUUCAUGACCUUUGGUAGAGAACAAAUGCGUAAGGACACAACAAAGAUAACCAUAAAAAAAAUCAAUUGGAUUUUGUUCAAUUAAGAAUUCCUGUUUAUGAAAAGAUGUCAUUAAGAGAGGGAAAAGAGAUAGAGAUUCACAAUACUUACAUCUACCAAAGGACUUGUGUCCAGAAUAUAUAAGGAACACUUUCAAAUCAGUAAGGAAAAGACAACCCAGUCUGAACAAUGAGGACGUGACCUGGAUAGGAACCUUACAAAAAGAGAAAACCCAAAUGGACAAUAAACCUAUUAACAGGUGCUCAACAUCAUUCCUCAGUCAGUUUCUUGAUUUUAAAAAUCUCGGCAUGGACCUCUCACAAAUGGGGACCUCCAGCUUGAACUCCAGACUUUGUAUCUGACUCAACAUCUCUACUUGGGUGUUUAGUAAGCGACUCAAACAACAUAUCCAAGGCACUGGCUGUUCACCGAAUACCAGCUUAUGCUCAGUCUUUCUGAUCUCAGUAAAUGGUAACAUCAUCAUUUUAACUACUUGGGCCAAAUGCCCUGGAUUGAUCUGAGACUUCUGUCCUUCAAUACCUCUUAUCUAACCUGUGAGAAAUUUUUGUUAGUUAUGUCUUUAAGAUAUACUUGGAAGCCAAACUUCACAGCACUUUACAGGUUAGCAGUUUGGUUUAGGCCACCACACCCUGUUCCAGACUUCACUGCCCUGCACCAUUGCCUGGCUGCAAUGUACUACCUGAAGAAUAGCUAAGGGGGUCCCUUUUAUGAUGUAAGGCAGAUCAUGACAUUUUUCUGCUCAAAACAUUCCAGGGCCUUGCUACCUUAGUCUAACAGACAAGGUCCUCCCUCACCAUGCACUGUGUUAUUGAUUCAGAUGUGUCACUCCAAAUUCAUAUGUUGAAGUCCUGACUCCUAUCACCUCACAAUGUGACUUCCUUUGGAAAUGCGGUCGUUAGAUGUAAUUAGUUAAAAUGAGGUCAUACUAGAGGACAGUGGAUCCCAAUCCCAAAUGACUGGUGUCCUAAUAAAAAGGGGAAACUUGGAGACAGACACACAUACAGGGAGAAUACCGUGUGGGGAUGAAGGCAGAGUUGCUGCCGAAGAUUGCCAGCAAGCCACAGGAAGCCAGGAGAAAGGUCUGCAGCAGAUUCUCGGUCCAAGCCUCUGAAGGAACCAACCCUGGAAGACACAAGACACCUUGACCUUAGACGUCUGACCCCAGAAAUAGAGGAACAGUGUGGCCCAGUGGACUGAAAUUAGCCUCUGCUGUUGGAGAUGAGGGUGAAGACUGGGCACUCGUAAGGCCUGAACGUCAGAGUACCACGCUUUCUGGCUUCAUUCAUCCCCGUGAGCCAUUUGUGCAGAAAAUGAAAUUUAAAACUCAAAAGUAUUCACGAUUUUGCCUCUUUCUUCUGUGCUACCUUCUGAGCUUAUUAUGUGAGCAGUUACUGCUGCCAAAUAUGCAACAUGUAUGGAGAUACCCAUUUAGCGAUGUAAGGUGUAGCUCAGGGACACCAAAACCCGUCUCUGCAGAAGGCCAUUUCUGUCCCACCUCUUUGUGGUCAUCAGGUACAGUUCAUUUCCCGGUAAUCAGACUUUUGUGAUCUCAGUUUCUUCCCGAAGAUGUUGGACUGUAUAACUUCACAAUGUCCACAAUAAUAACAACCAGAGAGGAACUAAAAUUCGCAGUCUUUGUGCAGUGAUGGCUGUUACAAAGGAAGAAGGGACAGCACCAUGGUUUGGACCCCAAAGAUUCUGCUUUUAGUCAAUUUUAUAGUUCUAGUUAAACAAACACCCAUAAAUACUUCUUUGUGUAUAUACUUAGGGAAACAAACAGGUAAAGUAAAAUUAGCUACAUAUUUACAAUGGGUAGUUCUCAGUAGUACAGGACAGGAAGGUACCAUGUGUCCUCCACCUAAAAUCAACAAGUAUUAUUCUUGCAACUUGCAUGUAGGUUUCAAAAAUUUCAAAAUAAAUGUGUGUGUGGGGGGAAUAGAAUAAGCAUUAUUGUAAAUUUUUGUUUCAUUGUGGUAAUCCUGAAUAAACACCGAGGUGUUUUUAAUAUCAAGUAUGAUGUAUCUCAAACAACUUAGAUGCCAUAUGCUUUAUGUAAAAUAAAAACCUUGAUAUCAACUCAAA
Molecule: long non-coding RNA, 3849 nt
Organism: Felis catus (domestic cat)
Lineage: Eukaryota; Metazoa; Chordata; Mammalia; Carnivora; Felidae
Exons: 2
Source: RefSeq, a predicted model, not a curated record